AGUUUUACUUCUUACUUUUCUGCCAGGGAUGUUUGAGCAGACAUCAAAACUGGAGGACAACAUGGCCAUUGAAGCAGCAUGGCAGCGCUUGAAUCCUUCCCUGCACUCUAGUACAGAGAAAAUGAAGUUUAGAGCCAAGGGACCUGGAGCUGGUGACUUGCGGCUAGACAUGGGCAAAGCUGGGUGCCUGCCUUUGAUUGAGGUGCCCAAGACCUGUGGCUACUC
Molecule: long non-coding RNA, 225 nt
Organism: Labrus mixtus (cuckoo wrasse)
Lineage: Eukaryota; Metazoa; Chordata; Actinopteri; Labriformes; Labridae
Exons: 3
Source: RefSeq, a predicted model, not a curated record